Loxodonta africana (African savanna elephant) is the source of this 6257-nucleotide long non-coding RNA. RefSeq lists it as uncharacterized. The transcript has 2 exons. The record is from RefSeq and is a predicted model, not a curated record. Lineage: Eukaryota; Metazoa; Chordata; Mammalia; Proboscidea; Elephantidae.
UCGCUGCCUGGGUCCUCCUCGUCUAUCCUCUCCCACUUCUUUCCUUUGUGCUCCAUGUUCCUCUCGCCGCCCCUGCCCGGCAGCCUGGACCUGCAGGCCCUUCCCCAGAUCCAGCUCUCAGGGACCUGAACUUCUCACUUUUACUCUAGAGCUUUAUAUGAGCUCUGAGUCACUGGGUUUGUCCUCAGUCUCUACCAAACAAAUGGACACGGGAGGUGGCUGGGCCACUGCCAGAGGAACUACCUCUGGGACUGAAAUACAGAAGUCAACACCCAAUUACAAUUUCCCAGAUUGCACUGACCAGGGUUUUCCAGAGCAAGGACUGUGUGGGUGGGGUCAUUAUUCGUCCCAGGGUGCCUCCCUGAAACGGUGGAAUCUCGGGGCAGCCCUAGGCCAGAGUGAAGGCAGUUCUGUUAGGUGACCAUGCAAAGCCCAGGGUCUCGGCCGACAUUGCCCACCUGUACUGUCAUAAAUUGAGAAUCAACAGUUGUUCACAGGUCAUUGACAAAGAAAUUACUCAGGGCUGUGGUUUCUUUUUGUAGUCUCUGAGUGGUGCGAAUGGUUAUCCUGCUCAGCUCCUAACUGAAACUUUGGAUGCUUGAGUCUACCAAGAGGUGCCUUGGAAGAAAAGCCUGGUAAGCUACUUUCAAAAAAUCAGCCAUUGAAAACCCCAUGGAGCACAGUUCUAUUUUGACACACAUGGGGUUGCCAUGAAUCAGGGCUACCUCGACAGCAAGUAGUAACUGCUCCUCGUUGUUUCUUUUUAACUGACAAGGCUAUGGUUUUCAAAGCCCCAUUCACCUGGGAACUGUUCACCUGCCCAGGUGGGUGGCUGGGGUCCUCAUUUGAUAAAGGGAGACACUGAGGCACACCUUUGACUUUGGGUUAGAACUUCCCAGGAGGCCUUAGUGAGAUCCCACCAACAGCAGUUAUCACUCAAACUCUGGAGUGGGUUUUAUUUCAACGUGGCAUGAGGUAGGGAUCCAACCUCAUACUUUCCCUGUGCAAAACCCUUUUCUCCAGCUUCAGUUGUUAAGCGGUGCCUCCUUUCUGUGUCCACCUGACAUGCUACUUCUUUCAUAUACGCCCAACAUUUAAACACAGAUAUGUCUGAAUCCAGGGCUCCGCUUUAUAACCACUAACCCCGAAUUCUUGUAAACAUGCUCAGGCAUCUCCUGUCUUUAAGGAAUGCCUCCUGGACCCCAUAUACACUGUAUGAGUUUCCUCUGGCUGCUGUAACAAAUUACCACAAACUUAGUGGCUUGAAACAGUACAGAUUUAUUAUCUUUCAGUUCUGGAGAUCAGAAGCCCAAAAUGCAUCUCACAGGGCUAAGGUCAAGGUGUUGGCAGGGCUGUGAGGCUCUGGGGAGAAUCCGUUUUCUUGUCUUUUCCAGAUUCAAGAUGCGACCUGCACAGCUUGGCUCAGGGCCCCUCCUCCAUCCUCAAGUGUCUGUUGAGUCCUUUUGCGUCCAUCUCUCACCUUCUGUGCUUCCUCACUGGGCCCACCUGGGUAACCCAGGAGCAUCACCACCCUACCUUAAGAUCAGCUGACUGUUGUUGUUAGGUGCCGUGGAGUCAGUUCCGACUCACAGACCCCAUGUACAACAGAACAAAACACUGCCAGGUCCUGCGCCUUGCUCACAGUCAUUGUUAUGCGUAAACUCACUGUUGUAGCCACUGUGUCAGUCCAUCUCAUUGAGGGUCUUCCUCUUUUUUGGUAACCUCUACUUUACCAAGCAUGAUGUCCUUUUCCAGGGAUGGUCCCUCCUAAUAACAUGCCCAAAGUAUGAGAUGAAGUCUCGCUUUCCUCGCUUCUAAGGACCAUUCUGGCUGUACUUCUUCCAAGACAGAUUCGUUCUUUUAGCAGUCCAUGGUAUAGUCAAUAUUCUUCACCAACACCACAAUUCAAAGGCGUCAAUUCUUCUUCAGUCUUCUUUAUUCAACGUCCAGCUUUCACAUGCAUAUGAGGCCAUUGAAAGGUCAGCUGAUUAGCAAUCUUAAUUCCAUCUGCACUUUUGUUACCCCUUUGCCAUGUAACCUAACAUGUUCACAGGUACCAGAGAUUAGGACAUGGACGUCUUUGGGGGACCACAUCCCCCUUUAGCUAAAGCCUCUCUCUCUUCAACUUCACAGAACAGCUUCUGAAACACUUAGGAUCUCACACUCUCUCUAUUCACCCCUCCACAACCCUCCACCCCUCGUCUGAAGGGCAAGAGUCUUUCUCUUGCCCUCGGCACCAUCGUACAAUCCCAUGGACCUCCUCAUUAGGAAAUUGGACCAAUUUUGCAUCUCAGAACACUCCUUCUAUGUACUUAGUAUGCGGCUGAGCAGCGCCGGUUAACGGCUGAAUGCCCUUCAGGUCCUCAUUGCGUGAGCCAACUCCCGUCUCUAAGACAAUUCCCUAGGCCUGCUUUGGUUUAUGUGUCGUUCCCUGAGUACAUUGCUUCCUGCUCACAGAGACAGAAGCAACACGUGUCUACACUUCAUUAAGACACAGAUGUCGUUGUUAGUUGCCACUCAGUCAGCUCUGACUCAUGGCAACCCCAUGUACAACAGAAUGAAACGUUGCCCGUUUUUGCUCCAUCUUCACGGUCUUCGGUAUGCGAGAAUCCAUUGUUGCAGCCACUAUGUAUUUUGAGCGACUUCCAACCUAGGGGCUCGUUUUCUAGCAUUAUAUCAGACAGUGUUCUGUGGUGACCCAUAAGGUUUCCACUGGCUGAUUUUCAGAAGUAGAUUGCCAGGACUUUCUUCCUAAUCUGUCUUAGUCUGGGAGCUCUGCUGAAGCCUGUCCACCAUGGAUGACCCUGCUGGUAUUUAAAACACUGUUGGUAUGGCUUCCAGCAUCACAGCAACAUGCAAGUCAUUACGGCACGGCAAACUGAGAUAUAGUUUAUAUAUUGUCAAAAUAUAAACCCUAUUUUUAUAUAUAUAUAUAUUUUGACACUGCCCUGAUUAUGACAGUGUCUUAGGCUGGGCUCUCUAGAGAAGCAAAACUGGUAAAACACAUAGAUAUAUAUAUAGAGAGAGAGAGAGAGGGAUUUAUAUCAAGAAAAUGGCUCACACCGCUGUAGAGAUUGGAACAUCCCAAGUUCGUGGGUCAGGAUAGAAGCCUCUCCUAAUUCAUGCAGCUGCAGGUGCCAGCUAACCCAAAGAUUGGCAGGUCAGAGAGCAGGGCUCUUGCUCACAGGCUGUGAAGAUCGAUGAAUCCCAAGAUCAGCAGGCAUGACCACAGGUAAGCUGCUAGCUCGCCCCAAGAACCGGAGAGCAGAUAACAGGAGCCAGCUGCAGGAUCCAGCGUGAGCAAAAGCCCCCAAACCUUGCCAGAAUAUUUGCUUAUAUUUGAUGCAAAUCACAUGCUGAAGGAAACUCCCUUUCAACUGAUUGGCUACUCACAGCAGAUCCCAUCAUGGGGUAAUCACAUACCAAAUUUCAACAGGGAAGUGAUCACAUUAUACGACUGCCAAGUCUCUGAGAAUCGUGGCCCAGCCAAGCUGACAUAGUCUUUUUUUUUUUUUAAUUUUUAUUGUGCUUAAGUGAAAGUUUACAAAUCAUGUCAGUCUCUCAUACAAAAAUUUAUAUACAUGAUCACAAUCUUAACCAUCUCAGUCAAUAAACAAUUUCAGCCCAUCCUUCGACUCGACGGCAGUGGGUGGGUUUUACCAUAUUCCGCCAUGUUUUGUAUUGCACAAAAGGGUCUCCCACAGCAUGCUGAGCUUUUCACGGACAGCCUCCUGUAAUUCUCAUGACAACCCUGCUGGUUAGGCGCUAUUUUACAAAAGAGGAAAAUGAGGUUUCAGGGAAGUGAAGUGGCUCCCCCAGCAGGUCUCCCAGGUAGAAGGUGCCAUUGCCAAGAUGCAAACCCCUAUUUGGAAUGCUGGGAGGAUGUCUACUGAUCUCACGUACCCCUUUUUCGUGAUUCAAAAGGUAUCUGGGAUGUAAGAAAGCACAUGUUCUCAGAGUCCAGAGCAAGCAAUCCCUUCCGACUGCCUGCAGGAAGUUUAGACAGAUGUGUUUUCACAGGUCAAAGGCUUGGAUGGGAGCACUCAGCUCAGGCGGAGGGGGAGAGCCGCAGUGGCCCAGCAGAGGGUGCCACAGGGAAAGUGAGGGUCCAGCAAGAGGCUUGUGACAUGAAUGUCCACUAGCGAAAGUCUCUAGGCACCCCAGAUGAACAAUGGUGAAUGACCGUAGUGCCUAUUUCUCAUGCAUGGAGGUGGUGGACCUCCACAUCGUGCCUGGAUCUGGAAGCCUAAGGACAGAGGCACACCUCAACUACAGGACCCCCACUCUUCAACAUAAAGUCUCGUGACCCCCAUGUCUGGGCAACAUGCACCAUUGGCAGCUGGAGGGGGUGGGCAGGAGAUGUGCUAUGAGAACAAAGCCAGCCUACCAAGUUGGCUUCUGCUUCCCUGGGACUGCCCAAGCACAUGUUUCACACAGCCAUCAUUGCCCAGCCCUGAAGUUCCCAGCCCCUGUAAACCAACACCCCCCAGGUGUACAGACCCUUCCAGAGGCAGCACUACACAAAGGCCGCCAGGAGCACACCUGCAGUUAGACAAAGGUAGUCACGCUGGUUUGCUGCAGCAAGGAAGAGAGGGAACCAGGGACCAGUGGGGUGUCCCAUGGGGGCACAGCAGGAUUACCCUAUAAGUAAAGUACUCACGGGCCCAGUCGUGCCUUCGCACCAAUCUGCAGUGCACCAUUUCACCCGUCCCCCACCACAGCAAAGAUGUGGUAAAACCCAUGAGAAAUAGCUUGCCACAGAUUAGCAAGUAAACACAGUUAAGCCCGUGUGUACCUUGCUCAAUGCUAGCCAGUGUGUAUAGUGCUCAAGGGUUAAUCCACCACUGCGUGGGGGAGUCAGGAACAGGGUGUUAUUCAAAACAGGGGCGGGGGUGCGGGGGACAGGGGAUGGGAGACGGGGGGGGGCAUCCGGUGGGAGUCCCCUGAGCCACCACAUCACCUCAGGCGUUUACUUUCAGUUUUGUUCUCUUCCAGUAAACACUGGAGCUUCUCGGAAAUCACACGGGAAGUUCUCAUUUGUUUUGCUUCUAGCAUAAAACCUCUUGGGAAUAGAGGUCACGCUCGAAUCAGGGGUCUUCUGUCUGAAUCUAAGACUCCUCACUCUGCUCGGGGACCUGAACAACGUGCGGAGGCCCCGGUGUUGGACUUUAUGUGGAUUACGAGCCCAGCCCCACGCUGAAGUUUGGUAAACAAUUGUGCAAGGACAGGAAUGCAUGGCCUCCCUUGAUGACCCACAGUAAUGAGACAUCGAAGUUGUGGUUAGACAGAAGUUUAAUACUGAACCAACAUGAGACGUAAAAAUAAAUAAACAAAAGGCAAACCUGUUGCCGAAGAGCUGAGUGCAACUCACAGCAACCUCAUGCUUCGGAGCAGAACUGCUCCACUGAGUUUUCUUCGCUUUAAUGUUUAUGGCAGUAGGUCACCAGACCUUUUCCCGCAGCACCUCUGUGUGGAUUCAAACCACCAAUCUUUCGGUUAGUAGCCGAGAGCAAACCAUUUGUGCCACCCAGGGACCUAUAACAUGAUACCUAGCUUUUCUAAAAAUAUCUCCAGGUGCAUUAUUAAAAAGAACGAUGUUCUGAAAAGGACAACAAGACACCUGGGGAAUGCAAAGCAGAGGGAAGAGAAGGUACAAAACAGAAGGCGUGAAAGUAUGUCACCCAGUGCACAGGUAGGUGGCUGGGCGGGGGGAGCCUGCCUCGCGGGGAGCCGGCGCUGCCAGUGGAAUGAUGUGAUGGACUUAGUUUGUGCAGGGUCUUCAAUGCCAGAUAACGUAAGGAAUUUAGUCGUCGUUUUCCAACUCAGGAGUGCUACUAUGGGGUGCUAAGCAGGGGAUUAACCUAAACUGAUGGACUUUAGUCACUUUUCUCCUUGUGUGCAGGUAGGUUCAAGACUGUUGUUGUUGUUGGAUGCCAUUGAGUCGGUUCCGACUCACAGCGAGCCUGUGUACAACAGAACGAAACACUGCCCAGUCCUGCGCCAGCCUCACAAUCAUUUUUAUUCUUGAGCCCAUUGUUGCAGCAGUCGUGUCAAUCCAUCUCGUUGAGGGUGGUCCUUUCUUUCCCUGACCCUCUACCAAGCGUGAUGUCCUUCUCCAGGGCCUGAUCCCCCCGAUAACAUUUCCAAAUGGUCCAUGGUAUAUUCAACAUUCUUCGCCAGCACCACAACUCAAAUUGUCAAUUCUUCUUUGGUGCAAAACUAGAGCCAAGGAAAGUAGUCCAAAGGUUCUUGAAUAA